AACGUAGGGCGCGAGCGUUAUCCGGAGUUACUGGGCGUAAAGCGCGCGCAGGCGGAUGAUUAAGUCGUGUAUGAAAGCCCCUGGCUAAACUGGGGGAGGCUAGACGAUACUGGUCAUCUUGAGUGGGUGAGAGGGAUGUGGAAUUCCGCGUGUAGUGGUGAAAUGCGUAGAUAUGCGGAGGAACACCAGAGGCGAAGGCGACAUCCUGGCACUUAACUGACGCUGAGGCGCGAAAGCAUGGGUAGCGAACGGG
RNAcentral lists this ribosomal RNA (253 nucleotides) under uncultured bacterium. RNAcentral describes it as "partial 16S ribosomal RNA". It matches the Rfam family "Bacterial small subunit ribosomal RNA", at positions 524 to 776 of the family's 1533-position model. The record is from RNAcentral.